Molecule: long non-coding RNA, 2452 nt
Filed under: Homo sapiens (human)
Lineage: Eukaryota; Metazoa; Chordata; Mammalia; Primates; Hominidae
Description: HSALNT0285147
Source: RNAcentral
ACCAGGUUUCUACUCAAAGAAGUUUUAGCUGCCCAAAACAUAGGUCAUUCUGACAUGCAAUAAGGCAGUCAUACUAGAUUCUUUAAAAAGGAAAUUUAAGAGUGUUACUUUUUUAAUCUAGCAUAUGCAUGCUGAUAAACUCAUUCUAUACUUUCUAGAAACUAGAGUAGCCUUAGUAAACUAUUUUUUCUUUAUGAAGUGGCUUAUCAAGGCUCUCUCUACACUCCGAGAGACAAGUAGGUGAGGGAUUUGAAAUGUAUGGCUUCAAUGGCUCUAUCUGGACUUCAGCCUGAAUCGAAUGAAAUACUUCAUCAUUGUCUGAUGAUUCAUCUUCUUUGUCCUUUGAAACAAAAAGGAAAGUAAUUGUUUUAAUUGUUGUUAAAAUGCAAGUGAUAGGAACAACUUCAUCAUCUUAAUGCUGAAUUGUUUAUAUGUAUUAUAUAAUAUAUAAUUUAAAAUAAUACACAAUUUAAAAGAAUAAUAUCCAAAUAUUAAAAAUGAUUUAAACCAGUAGUUUCUAAUAGUGUUUGGUUCUGGAUCCCUUUCAGAAUCUGAGAAAUGCUAUAGACUGUCCACAGAAAAUUGCAUAUAGACAUACCUAUUACAUAUAUUUUCUGGUGGAUUGCUGACCUCCUGAAGUUCAUCUACAGGGUCCAGGUUAAGAAUCUCUGGCCUAAAACUUGAUUGACUCAUAACACCAAACUAACUGUCACAUUUAGCAAGCUAUUAUAACCAAAGUUUGGUCUUCCUGAGCAAUGGAAGAUCUGUAAUACAGUGGUGCAAAUAUUUCUCCCUAAUUGAGAUCUAGGACUUUAGGAAACUGUUUUCCCCUUUAAUCCAAUCAAUAUUAUCUCUUCAACUGAAAGAUUAAUAAAAAUGCAUUUUUUGUUUCCUGCUGGUGACUUAAAGCACCCACCUAUGUCUCUCAACUCUAAUAAAAUUUCAGGUAUCAUGAAGAUCUGUGACUUUGACUAUAUUAUCAAUAAUUUUCUUUUCCUUUAUAUUUUCUUCAACGACCACAUAUAAAGAUAUAAAUGCUUGUACAAUAUCCUAGAGUCAUGAGAUUGGUAACUAUUAUUUAUUGACUUUUAAAAAUUUUAGAAUGGCUUUCCACAUAUAUGUUUAAAACAAUAAAUGACAAUAAGUGUGUGCCAUGCUGGUAUCACUGAAUCUUUCAGAGAUCAAUAAAAGUCUUAUUCAUAAAUGCAAAACCCAUUAGAUCUAAUUGAUUACUAGGGUUCAUCGAGAAUAAUCAUUAGCAUUUUAGAUGAGCUAGUUUUUGCCAAAUGUCACCAUUCUAGACUUAAACCUCCCUUUUCUCCAUCUAGUUUCUUGCUCCUUAUAGUUCCCUUUUUCUCUGAGAACUAGACAUCCAUUUUCCCUUUUGGGCCUUGCUUCUCUUGCUGCUCCUACCUUUUCUCAUGUUAAACAUGUCAACAAAUUAGCAUUUGUUUAAUUGGCUCAAUGUGCACAAACUCAAAGAAUUCCUUAUCUAGAUACUCAGAUAAAAUUCAUUUGUAAUUAUUACAAUGAUUAUUAUUGGGUAAAUAGAUGUGGAUAAAAGGGUAUAAGUUAGGAUCAUCACAAUGAUUCCUUUUACACAAAUGGAUGUGGGGAGUAUUAGAAAACAACUGCUCCCCUAACCUUAUCUAACCUCAUUAAUUUGUUAUCAAGCCCAUAAUUCUUCAUUAUCAGUUUAGAAUCCACCAGAUUAAAUUCAAUAACUCCAGUAAAAUUAUAUUCACUUUUUAUUAAAGGAUUUUUGAAACAAUUACGUUUUAGUGACUGUUCUUAGAUAAAAUGGAGUUUAACACACUGUAUUCCACAUUUCAAAAGGGUACAGAUGAAACCACCCUUAUUAACUUAUAAAAUUAAUCACAGAAGAAGAGAGGGGAAGAAACAAAAAUAUACCAAGCUUGCAGCACGUUUAGCAUUAAUCUUUAGGUCAGCUUGCUCUCUGACCUCCUUCCUCAAUAGAUGUUUGUUGCCUAUUUUCCUAGACUCACGUAGACCUUGUUGCAACAUCAUCAUUCCCCUUAACUGCUCUGUAGAUAACAACUUGAACAUUAUGAAAUGUUGUUUUUCCUUUGAGAUAUUUCUUCAGGUCUUGCAUACCAGUGAAACUAUUGUCAAUCAACUGGUCUGAAGGACCCCACUGACGCCAACUGGUCUGAAGGACCCCACAAGAGGCUGACUCAUCAAAAAAUGCAGUUUCCACAUCCUGAUGAUUUCAAGGACCAUCAACCUUACCCUGACCAAUCAACAACUCCAAUUAUCCAGCACCUCACCCUCUACAAUCCCCUUAAAAACCCCAUCCCAGAACUCCUCCAGGAGAUGGAUUUGAGGGUCUCCUCCCCACCUCCUCACUCCAUGCCCUGCUGAUCAUUAAACUCUUCUGCUGCAUUCUUGAUGCAUGUGUAAUUGGUCUGUUACUAUGCAGUGGGCAUACGAA